GACGAACGCUGGCGGCGUGCUUAACACAUGCAAGUCGAACGGAAAGGCCCUGCUUUUGUGGGGUGCUCGAGUGGCGAACGGGUGAGUAACACGUGAGUAACCUGCCCUUGACUUUGGGAUAACUUCAGGAAACUGGGGCGAAUACCGGAUAGGAGCUCCUGCUGCAUGGUGGGGGUUGGAAAGUUUCGGCGGUUGGGGAUGGACUCGCGGCUUAUCAGCUUGUUGGUGUGGUAGUGGCUUACCAAGGCUUUGACGGGUAGCCGGCCUGAGAGGGUGACCGGCCACAUUGGGACUGAGAUACGGCCCAGACUCCUACGGGAGGCAGCAGUGGGGAAUAUUGCACAAUGGGCGGAAGCCUGAUGCAGCAACGCCGCGUGCGGGAUGACGGCCUUCGGGUUGUAAACCGCUUUCGCCUGUGACGAAGCGUGAGUGACGGUAAUGGGUAAAGAAGCACCGGCUAACUACGUG
This 468-nucleotide ribosomal RNA is filed under the name uncultured bacterium. RNAcentral's name for it is "partial 16S ribosomal RNA". It matches the Rfam family "Bacterial small subunit ribosomal RNA", at positions 28 to 507 of the family's 1533-position model. The record is from RNAcentral.